Long non-coding RNA from Chiloscyllium plagiosum (whitespotted bambooshark), 420 nucleotides. RefSeq lists it as uncharacterized. The record is from RefSeq and is a predicted model, not a curated record. NCBI's taxonomy places the organism in Eukaryota, Metazoa, Chordata, Chondrichthyes, Orectolobiformes, Hemiscylliidae.
GUGGAUUCAAAUACUGCAAGGAAGUCCUUUUUACUCACGUCUUUGUAAUUGUAGUCUAACCUCUGACUAGGACUGCUUUUUCUGUAUCGGUCCAUCGUGGUAUUGAACAAAGAUUUUUGGCAUGAAAUCAUCCCAACACUCACAAACGGAGCUGCAUCAAGACAAUAUUUCAAUGAGCUACAUCACACUGCAGCAACCAAGAACUAGAAAAAGCAGAAGAAAAAUAUAUAUACAGUGUUUUCAAGAAAAGCAGAGUGCAAGUGCAAUGGUUCCCAUGACCAUUCACCCUGCACCACUAAUGACCGCAAAGUCGUUCUCCCCUUCCUGUUACUACUAGACUGCUAGGUCUAAUGUGGUAAUGCAGGGGGUCGCACGGAGGAGACGAGCUCACUUGAAAUUCAUCGUGGAAAUGACUUUCCG